CUUGAAACACGGACCAAGGAGUUUAUCGUGUACGCAAGUCAUUGGGUUAGCUAAACCCAAAGGCGAAAUGAAAGUAAAUAGUGUUUAAUUUUUUAUUUUACACUUAAGGGAAGAUAAAAACUGUUUGUAGAUUUUAAAUUUUUUUUUUUAUAGAAAAAAAUUUAGUUUACAUGAUGGUUUUUCGCACUCCCAGGGCGCUUGUGUUCUCGCUUUGCGAGUCGAUGCGCACCUAGAGCGUACACGCUGAUACCCGAAAGAUGGUGAACUAUGCCUGGCCAGGACGAAGCCAGGGGAAACCCUGGUGGAGGUCCGCAGCGAUUCUGACGUGCAAAUCGAUCGUCGGAGCUGGGUAUAGGGGCGAAAGACCAAUCGAACCAUCUAGUAGCUGGUUCCCUCUGAAGUUUCCCUCAGGAUAGCUUGCGCUCGGAUAAGAGAAGAGUCUCAUCCGGUAGAGCGAAUGAUUAGAGGCAUUGGGGUCGAAACGACCUCAACCUAUUCUCAAACUCCAAAUAGAUGAGAACCCCGGCUUUCUUAAAACUGAAGCCGUGGGACUCGGAUCAGAGUGCCAAGUGGGCCAAUUUUGGUAAGCAGAACUGGCGCU
Molecule: ribosomal RNA, 601 nt
Filed under: Ectomocoris atrox
Lineage: Eukaryota; Metazoa; Arthropoda; Insecta; Hemiptera; Reduviidae
Description: partial 28S ribosomal RNA
Rfam family: Eukaryotic large subunit ribosomal RNA
Source: RNAcentral